Long non-coding RNA from Meriones unguiculatus (Mongolian gerbil), 560 nucleotides. RefSeq lists it as uncharacterized. The transcript has 2 exons. NCBI's taxonomy places the organism in Eukaryota, Metazoa, Chordata, Mammalia, Rodentia, Muridae. The record is from RefSeq and is a predicted model, not a curated record.
CAACGUGUUUGGAAUGCAGAAGGGUCACCAGCUGCAAAAGCACAGGUGGAGGCCAGAAGAGGGCAUCGGAUCCUCCAGGACUAGAGGUACCGGCGGUUGUGAACAGCUAUGUGGGGCCUGAAGGGCCUUCAGCAUUCUUUCACGCUGAGCAUCUCUCCCACCCCAGAGGCCAGCUUUCAGGAGUCAAUGCUCUUCUUCCGCCAUCAGUCUUGCAUUGCUGGCUCUGGUAGCCCAGUGACCCAUCCCACCGGGCCUGAUGGCUAAAGUCUGAGAAAUAGGAAAUUCCACGCUCUGCUCGCAUCAGCCUCACUUUUCCCAGGAGCAGCCGGACCUCAGAUGCCUCCUCACCUAGCACCUCAGAGCCCGGCUUCUUUAUCCCAGAAGUACCGCUGAGACCCACACCUGUGAAGGCAACUGAAGACUUGGAUUUCCCAUCUCCCAUCUGACUGUCUCGUCUUUCCAAAACUCAUUUCAAAUGGGCAAACAGAACCUGGGUGGGAAACAUCAAACUGGAUUUUUAAAAUUCUAGAAUGUUAGCCCCAAGGGGCCAAGAAUGUUUA